This 254-nucleotide ribosomal RNA is filed under the name uncultured bacterium. RNAcentral's name for it is "partial 16S ribosomal RNA". It matches the Rfam family "Bacterial small subunit ribosomal RNA", at positions 524 to 776 of the family's 1533-position model. The record is from RNAcentral.
GACGUAGGGCGCAAGCGUUGUCCGGAUUCAUUGGGCGUAAAGAGCUCGUAGGCGGCUUGGCAAGUCGGGUGUGAAAACUUCAGGCUCAACCUGGAGCGGCCACUCGAUACUGCCAUGGCUUGAGUCCGGUAGGGGACCACGGAAUUCCUGGUGUAGCGGUGAAAUGCGCAGAUAUCAGGAGGAACACCGGUGGCGAAGGCGGUGGUCUGGGCCGGAACUGACGCUGAGGAGCGAAAGCGUGGGGAGCGAACAGG